Long non-coding RNA from Oncorhynchus keta (chum salmon), 1498 nucleotides. RefSeq lists it as uncharacterized. The transcript has 3 exons. NCBI's taxonomy places the organism in Eukaryota, Metazoa, Chordata, Actinopteri, Salmoniformes, Salmonidae. The record is from RefSeq and is a predicted model, not a curated record.
GCUGAAGAGUAGGGUUGAUCCGAGCGUUCUGAUCUCACAAAAGCAGUCAAGCUAGCUAACUGGCUAAAGUUGGCCAGCUUUCUAGCUACUCCCAGACACAAAUGAGAGAACCUCACUCUGGCCAUUGUACUUGUUAUCUACAGCGUUAGUGGCUUUAACUGUGCUGCUGGCAACAUCAUACUUAAUUGCUUUGCCUACGUUUACUGACACCUGUCAGAUUCAGCGUUUUUUGGCGCGUUCGUCAAUUCAUCGGUUAUUCUGCGAUCUUGCACACUCAGACGAGAGUGCUCUGAAAUCGGAGUAGAUAUCCAUAGUGAAUUUUCGAACGCACCCUCUAAUCAGGCACAAUUGAGCCAGCCAACCUGUAUCGUCAUUUCGGGGUCCUUAUUCAGAGUGACCAACGAGGAUUAGUCCGUGAUUCGACCUUUUUCGUGUAUGUUAUUUUUGUUUAGUUAGCCAAGUAAAAUGUACUACAAGUUAAAUGCAGUUACACAAAGACUUAUCCAAUCGGCACCGAGUGCUGACAACCCUCAGGGAUUGAGGAUAACAGUGCCCACGGAGGCUCCCCCAAUGAUCUUUGCCACACCCACCAAAUAUGUGUCAGAGGCAGGGAACAUGGUGGAGUACCUGGGACACAACAAAGUCACUGACCUUCUAGAAGUCUGAUGGUAUCCCGGUGCACCUGAAGGGAGGCCUGAUGGACAAGAUGCUGUACAGGACUACCAUGUCCCUGACCAUCGGUGGGACCCUCUACUGCCUGAUGGCUCUCUACAUCGCUGCCCAGCCUCGGAAGUGAUCAGCUUCCUCCUCUUCAAGGGUCCAGCAGGAUUUUAUAUGAGUCAGAUUAGGAGCAAUAAUGUGUUAUGUUUGUGGUUCACAUGGCAACAGUUAGCCAGCAGCAUACCACCCUGCAUCCCACAGCUGGCUUGCUUCUGAAGCUAAGCAGGGUUGGUCCAUGGAUGGGAGACCAGGUGGUGUUGGAUGGCCAGUAGGAGGCUCCCAGUAGGAGGUAUCCUCUGAUCUAAAAUAUAUCCCAGGGCAGUGUUUGGGGACAUUGCCCUGUGUAGGUUGCUGUCUUUUGGAUGGGACGUUAAACGGGUGUCCUGACUUUGUGGUCACUAAAGAUCCCAUGGUACUUAUUGUAAGAGUAGGGGUGUUAACCCUGGUGUCCUGGCUAAAUUCCCAAUCUGGCCCUCAUAUCAUCAUUGUCACCUUAUCAUCCCCAGUUUCCAAUUGGCUCAUUCCUCUCCCCUGUAACUAUUCCCCAGGUUGUUGCUGUAAAUGAAAAUGUGUUCUCAGUCAAUUUACCUGGCAAAAUAAGGUUAAAAAUACAAUCCUAGAAGUGUUCAUUCACACCUUGAGAUAGAAAAAUGUAUUUUCUCUUUCCUUGUCAUUGGAAAAUAAUUUCACUGCUCUGAUAAACACAAUGUAGGAGAGAAUGAAAGGCCUAGCUAUCUGUUUCCUUAUAUCUCCUUUCUGUGAAAUAUAUAUUUUGUUG